AUGCUUACCUACAAAUCUUGAUUGAACAAUUAAAGCUUUUUGAUGACAAGCUUCAAAACUGCAAAGAAGAUGAACAGAGAAAGAAAAUUGAGACUCUCAAAGAGACAACAAAUAGCAUGGUAGAAUCAAUUAAACACUGCAUUGUGUUGCUGCAGAUUGCCAAAGACCAGAGUAAUGCGGAGAAGCACGCAGAUGGAAUGAUAUAUCUUCUGUUAUAAGCACUACUUAAUAUA
RNAcentral lists this small RNA (233 nucleotides) under Pongo abelii (Sumatran orangutan). RNAcentral describes it as "processed transcript". The record is from RNAcentral. Lineage: Eukaryota; Metazoa; Chordata; Mammalia; Primates; Hominidae.